This 253-nucleotide ribosomal RNA is filed under the name uncultured bacterium. RNAcentral describes it as "partial 16S ribosomal RNA". It matches the Rfam family "Bacterial small subunit ribosomal RNA", at positions 524 to 776 of the family's 1533-position model. The record is from RNAcentral.
UACGGGGGGGGCCAGCGUUGUUCGGAAUUACUGGGCGUAAAGGGCGCGUAGGCGGCCACCGAAGUCGGACGUGAAAUCCCUCGGCUCAACCGGGGAACUGCGUCUGAUACUGGGUGGCUCGAAUCCGGGAGAGGGAUGCGGAAUUCCAGGUGUAGCGGUGAAAUGCGUAGAUAUCUGGAGGAACACCGGUGGCGAAGGCGGCAUCCUGGACCGGUAUUGACGCUGAGGCGCGAAAGCCAGGGGAGCAAACGGG